UGAAUGUCUACCCGUGGCCCCGCCCUGCAGUAGGACCUAACGAGAGACAAGACCCAGAAUCUGCCUUUGAAGGAGGGGGCCAGUUCAGGAAUAUGGACUCUGUCGUCAGGACACAGAAGAGCCUUUGCAGGACUAAAUCGGGCCAGAUUGUCCCUUUAGCUGUGGUGUGGAGAAGGGGUCAGAGGUGUAGGCGGGAGCUCCGGAGACCCUGCUGGUCUCGGUGACACAGGGCCUGACUCCAUGCUGGACACAUAGGAGGCACUCUGUAACUAGUGCGAGAUGAUGGCAACGUGAAAUGCAAGCAGAGACAGGAUGCUGUGGACGGAGAGAAAACACCCUAGAUGAAGUGUCUGCGACAACACUGCAGAAAUAUAUACUUUUUUGACAUUUUGGAAUCAAAAGCAAAGUUUGUUGAUGAUAACCCCAUCAGAUCAGGGUGGUUUAAAAGCCAAAGCUUAGUGCAAAUAAGAUCCCUGGGCCAGCCCCUCGAGCUGACAGUGCCCGCGCAGGCACGUCAAUUUCAACAAAGGUAUCGGGCGUCACUUGUCUGCUGUGCAG
RNAcentral lists this long non-coding RNA (558 nucleotides) under Equus asinus (donkey). RNAcentral's name for it is "lncRNA (ENSEASG00005036243.1)". The record is from RNAcentral. Lineage: Eukaryota; Metazoa; Chordata; Mammalia; Perissodactyla; Equidae.